This 242-nucleotide long non-coding RNA is filed under the name Elaeis guineensis (African oil palm). RNAcentral describes it as "long non-coding RNA (EGUI_LNC070176)". The record is from RNAcentral. Lineage: Eukaryota; Viridiplantae; Streptophyta; Magnoliopsida; Arecales; Arecaceae.
UAGGAGUCCGGGCGAAGUCUAGAAGGUGGUCGAUCACCGUGGAAACGUGGGUGGAGUCCGUCCGUCGUGAAGAAUCCGGUCGACGCUGGUGGGGGUUUAUCCAUCGGCAGAACUUGGGAGUGUUGCGGAGGCUCGGCCGCCAGAGAGGUUCGGCAAGAUGUCGUCGGAGGUCGGAAGUCGAUAGAAUCCCCAGAGGAUCACUCCUGUCACGAACUUCGGCUGGGGGGUAUUUUAUACCCAAC